GCGGUGGUAGCCCAACGGUAGAGGCACGGAUUUUAGGUGUCCGUCAGUGCGGGUUCGAGUCCCGCCCGCCGCACCA
The sequence is a transfer RNA, 76 nucleotides long. It matches the Rfam family "tRNA". Rfam says of the family: Transfer RNA (tRNA) molecules are approximately 80 nucleotides in length.